AUGACGGUGGAGAAGGUCGACGCGACGGUGGCCGACUUCGACGGCCACUUCGAAAAGCUCUUCGCCGGCGACGAUGGCGGCAAGCUGAAGCUGCUGCUCUUCCUCGCCGACCGGGAGCCGUCCUCCUCCCUCACCUGGUGCCCCGACUGCAACGUGGCGGAGCCGGUGAUCUACGAGAAGCUGGAGUCGGUGGGCAAGGACGUGGUGCUCCUGCGCGCGUUCGUCGGCGACAAGCCCACGUGGAGGGACCCGGCCCACCCGUGGAGGGUGGACCCGCGGUUCGCGCUCAAGGGCGUGCCGACGCUGCUGCGGUGGGACAAGGGCGCCGCCGCGGGGCGCCUCGAGGACGACGAGGCCAACGUCGGGGACAAGAUCGACGCCCUGCUCAAUUGA
Molecule: ribosomal RNA, 393 nt
Filed under: Triticum aestivum (bread wheat)
Lineage: Eukaryota; Viridiplantae; Streptophyta; Magnoliopsida; Poales; Poaceae
Description: partial small subunit ribosomal RNA
Source: RNAcentral